GUCCGUGCAGCACCUCCGCCCCCAAGCAGAAACCUCGCAAACAGACAGAGAAGACUGAGGAGGUGGAGAUCACACUGGUGUGACAGUCAGACAGACAGAUGGAGAAGACUGAAGAGGUGGAGAUCACACUGGUGUGACAGACAGACAGACAGAUGGAGAAGACUGAAGAGGUGGAGAUCACACUGAUGUGACAGACAGAUGGAGAAGACUGAGGAGGUGGAGAUCACACUGGUGUGACAGACAGAUGGAGAAGACUGAGGAGGUGGAGAUCACACUGAUGUGACAGACAGACGGAGAAGACUGAGGAGGUGGAGAUCACACUGGUGUGACAGACAGAUGGAGAAGACUGAGGAGGUGGAGAUCACACUGGUGUGACAGACAGACAGAGAAGACUGAGGAGGUGGAGAUCACACUAGUGUGACAGACAGACAGAGAAGACUGAGGAGGUGGAGAUCACACUAGUGUGACAGACAGACAGACAGAGAAGACUGAGGAGGUGGAGAUCACACUGGUGUGACAGACAGACAAGACUGGGGAGGUGGAGAUCACACUGGUGUGACAGACAGACAGACAGACAGAGAAGACUGAGGAGGUGGAGAUCACACUGGUGUGACAGAUAGACAGAGAAGACUGAGGAGGUGGAGAUCACACUGGUGUGACAGACAGACAGACAGAGAAGACUGAGGAGGUGGAGAUCACACUGGUGUGACAGAUAGACAGACAGAGAAGACUGAGGAGGUGGAGAUCACACUGGUGUGACAGACAGACAGAGGGACAGCAGAGCACAGACCUGGAUGACUGAACUUUGAACUGGGCUUCACCUCUAAGCUUUGAACCCUGG
Long non-coding RNA from Oncorhynchus tshawytscha (Chinook salmon), 841 nucleotides. The record is from Ensembl. NCBI's taxonomy places the organism in Eukaryota, Metazoa, Chordata, Actinopteri, Salmoniformes, Salmonidae.